This is a long non-coding RNA of Gasterosteus aculeatus aculeatus (three-spined stickleback), 1522 nucleotides long. Lineage: Eukaryota; Metazoa; Chordata; Actinopteri; Perciformes; Gasterosteidae. The record is from Ensembl.
ACACUUUUUAAAAUGUUACAGCUGUUUUGUUUUUAUUUUAGAUGAAUCUCCCAAACAGUCAGAAGCAUAAAACCAGCUUAUUUGUUUCCCUGAAUUAAGAGACCUAAAAGCUUGCGGCCCUUCGUUCUGAACCUCUAACAUUUGGACUGCGUGUUCUACCUUUUGAAACGUUCACGUCAUCGGUCGUCAGAUUAUUUAAUCCGGCUUUCGUCUAACCCAAAAGGUCACGCCAGGUUCCCGGAGGCGUGCUUGGCGAUGCGCGUUGACCCGGGCCGGCCUCGUGGCUCUCAGAGCAGCCCGACUUGUCCGCCGGACCAGUCGCUGCUUUUAAUUGCGAUUUGGGACACAAUGUUUUUUGGCCGCCAUCUAAAUAUAAACCAUCGGGCGUGUGUGUGUGUGUGUGUGUGUGUGUGCGUGGCGCCGGGGGCAGGUUCGCAGGCGCGGGCGUGUUGCUACACCUUUGACAUUUCCAGCUUCAUUGUGGGUUUGACGGAUAGCUGCACGCAGCCGGUCAUUAUCAGCGAGGGUACGGAAACAAAAGGGCGUGAGCGGUAACGAUAAGGCGAGGCCCGCGCCGGAGUCACGCGCACGCCGCCAGGUUGACGCGGCCUGGAUGCAGAGGAAGGAGGGAAGGGUGUCGUCGGUCGGGACGGGUGGAGCAAGGGCUGGCAAUGGAAGGAAGAGAAGAUAGGGAGGGGAAACAAUUUGGUCGGGCGGAGGCAAGUGAGAAAAGAGCGAGGGAAGAGAGACCUGGGUGGAGACAGAGGUGGAGAGGGUGUGGACGGGUCAGAUAAGGGAAGGCGGAGGCGCAGGAGGGGCGACCGUCCAUUUUUACCUCCUCUGUGUGUUUUUGCAGCACAGAGGCUCGAGCCGCAGCCAUUAGCGACGCGAGGAAAGCUAACCGCGCUUUUAAUGAGGCCGAGGGCCAAGUUGUGUCUGUGGCCACGCGAUCAAUGGAAAAGGUCAAUGGGGUUUAUUGUUUUUUGGGGAGCUCAACUAGAACACACAGCUAGCAGGAUCCAAACCACUAGAUGCUUUAUUCCUCUGCAUAUAUAUAUAUAUAUAUAUAUAUAUAUAUAUAUAUAUAUAUAUAUAUAUAUAUAGAUUAAUUAACCAGUUUGGGGGCCACUGGGCCACAGUCUCUGGAUUGACUGAUCCAGGAUGGAGGAUAUUGAUUACAUGAAGACACAUUCCUGCAAUUUGACUGCAUCAAUAAAGAGAUGAUGUCUUUUUAGAGCACCUACAGUUCACAGUACGACUCAUACAUGUGUCUUACAUGUUUUAUUUGUUCUAUUUACUUCAUCUGAAACACCCUCAGUCUUCCAUCAAAAUACUGAAGUUUAAAGUUUCAUCAUGUGGCCACAUAGGUGUUCAUUGAGCGAGUAAACAUCGGCGGGGGGGGUUGUUGUUGUUGUUGUUGUUGUUGCAGAUGAACACCUGCUGAUAGAAAAUCAACUCCUGACCGAUUUAAAAAAAUAAGCUCUUAUAGUUCGGGGGAGAAAAGUGAGAGAAUUGUGUCGGC